This is a long non-coding RNA of Oncorhynchus tshawytscha (Chinook salmon), 1299 nucleotides long. Lineage: Eukaryota; Metazoa; Chordata; Actinopteri; Salmoniformes; Salmonidae. The record is from Ensembl.
ACACGAAGGGCUGGAGAGCGGUACACGAAGGGCUGGAGAGCGGUACACGAAGGGCUGGAGAGCGGUACACGAAGGGCUGGAGAGCGGUACACGAAGGGCUGGAGAGCGGUACACAAAGGGCUGGAGAGCGGUACACGAAGGGCUGGAGAGCGGUACACGAAGGGCUGGAGAGCGGUACACGAAGGGCUGGAGAGCGGUACACGAAUGAGUGUCUGCCGGAAACAGUGAAGCAUGGUGGAGGUUCCUUGCAAGUUUGGGGCUGCAUUUCUGCAAAUGGAGUUGGGGAUUUGGUUAGAAUUAAUGGUCUCCUCAAUGCUGAGAAAGACAGGCAGAUACUUAUCCAUCAUACAAUACCAUCAGGGAGGCAUCUGAUUGGCCCCAAAUUUAUUCUGCAGCAUGACAAUGACCCAAAACAUACAGUGAAAGUCAUUCAGAACUAUCUUCAGUGUAAAGAAGAAUAACGAGUCCUGGAAGUGAUGGUAAGGCCCCCACAGAGCCCUGAUCUCAACAUCAUCGAGUCUGUCUGGGAUUACAUGAACAGAGAGAAGCACCUGAGGCUGCCUAAAUCCACAGAAUAACUGUGGUUAGUUCUCCAAAAUGUUUGGGCCAACCUACCUGCUGAGUUCCUUCAAAAACUGUGUGCAAAUGUACCUAGGAGAAUUGAUGCUGUUUUGAAUUGAUGCUGUUUUGAAGGGUGGUCACACCAAACAUUUAUUUGAUGUAGAUUUUUCUUCGUUUUACUCGCUUUGCAUUUUGUUAAUUGAUAAAUAUAAUCUAUUAAUAACAUGUCUAUUUUUGAAAGCAUUCUUACUUUACAGCAUUUUUUCACACCUGCCUAUGACUUUUGCACAGUACUGUAUGUCCAGGCAUCCAGCAUUCAUUGUGUCCAGGAUGUGGAUGGGGGUCAUAAACCUUCCAUCUCCAUGAGGAAAUAAUAACAAGGUGGGAGGAAACGUGACUCCGUCCUGGGAUGAGCUGCAAACCACUCUGUGACUGGACUGGUGAAAUGCCACGGUGUCCAUUACAAUGUCAAACGUUGGCUGAUUUCGCCUCACUGCAACCCUUUCCUCACCUGGCACAACCCUUCCAGAGAGGUCAUCCAGGAAUGUAAUGAGACGCUCAGUGUUGUAUGGCACAACCCUUCCAGAGAGGUCAUCCAGGAAUGUAAUGAGACGCUCGGUGUUGUAUGGCACAACCCUUCCAGAGAGGUCAUCCAGGAAUGUAAUGAGACGCUCGGUGUUGUAUGUCACAACCCUUCCAGAGAGGUCAUCCAGGAAUGUAAUGAGACGCUCGGUGUUG